ACGAACGCUGGCGGCGUGCUUAACACAUGCAAGUCGAACGGAAAGGCCUGCUUUCCCUUGUGGAUUGCGGGUACUCGAGUGGCGAACGGGCGAGUAACACGUGAGUGAUCUGCCCCCAACUUGGGUAUAAGCCUGGGAAACUGGGUCUAAUUCCCGAUAGGACUGCAGGGUGGUGCCUGUGGUGGAAAACGAUUUUCUAGUGGUUGGGGAUGAGCUCGCGGCCUAUCAGCUUGUUGGUGGGGUAAUGGCCUACCAAGGCGGCGACGGGUAGCCGGCCUGAGAGGGUGGACGGCCACAUUGGGACUGAGAUACGGCCCAGACUCCUACGGGAGGCAGCAGUGGGGAAUAUUGCACAAUGGGCGGAAGCCUGAUGCAGCGACGCCGCGUGGGGGAUGACGGCCUUCGGGUUGUAAACUCCUUUCGACCGCGAGGAAGCCACCUGGUUGGAAGGGUGGUGACGGUAGUGGUAGAAGAAGCACCGGCUAACUACGUG
RNAcentral lists this ribosomal RNA (493 nucleotides) under uncultured bacterium. RNAcentral describes it as "partial 16S ribosomal RNA". It matches the Rfam family "Bacterial small subunit ribosomal RNA", at positions 29 to 507 of the family's 1533-position model. The record is from RNAcentral.